CGGGAUGUAGUUCAAUUGGCUAGAAUGUGCGCUUCGGGUGCGCAAGGUUGUGAGUUCAAGUCUCACCAUCCCGA
This 74-nucleotide transfer RNA is filed under the name Candidatus Methanofastidiosum methylothiophilum. Its description in RNAcentral is "Arc I group archaeon U1lsi0528_Bin089 tRNA-Pro". It matches the Rfam family "tRNA". From Rfam's summary of the family: Transfer RNA (tRNA) molecules are approximately 80 nucleotides in length. Lineage: Archaea; Methanobacteriati; Methanobacteriota; Candidatus Methanofastidiosia; Candidatus Methanofastidiosales; Candidatus Methanofastidiosaceae. RNAcentral also lists the same sequence under 1 other name. The record is from RNAcentral.